This 271-nucleotide ribosomal RNA is filed under the name uncultured archaeon. RNAcentral describes it as "partial 16S ribosomal RNA". It matches the Rfam family "Archaeal small subunit ribosomal RNA", at positions 477 to 747 of the family's 1478-position model. The record is from RNAcentral.
CGGCGGCCCGAGUGGUAAUCACUUUUAUUGGGUCUAAAGGGUCCGUAGCCGGUUUGAUCAGUUCUUCGGGAAAUCUGACAGCUCAACUGUUAGGCUUCCGGGGAAUACUGUCAGACUUGGGACUGGGAGAGGUAAGAGGUACUACAGGGGUAGGAGUGAAAUCUUGUAAUCCCUGUGGGACCACCAGUGGCGAAGGCGUCUUACCAGAACGGGUCCGACGGUGAGGGACGAAAGCUGGGGGCACGAACCGGAUUAGAUACCCGUGUAGUCC